Molecule: long non-coding RNA, 3627 nt
Organism: Limulus polyphemus (Atlantic horseshoe crab)
Lineage: Eukaryota; Metazoa; Arthropoda; Merostomata; Xiphosura; Limulidae
Exons: 3
Source: RefSeq, a predicted model, not a curated record
CAUACACAGUUUGACCUGCCCCUAUGGAAAGAGUUAAACUAGUAAUUUUGCUAGAUCCAAGACAAUGGUACCCCUUGACCCCCCCCCCUCUCGUCAGCCCUGUCAUGUAAACUGAUCAGAUAAUCAAAAUUAAAAUUAAAUUGAUUAUUCAAAAUUAGUGUUUCUGAUCAGCUAUUUAAAUAAUCAAAACUUUGCCACCAAACUUGCUUGCCCCAUCUUUGCUAUGUUAGAGUUACUAAAGUUAUCUGCCACUAUCACUAAUGUUUAACUGCUGAUUAGAGGGAAGGCAAACUUUCUGGCAGCACUUGCUGUCAACCUUUUUUUUUUUUUCUUGUGAGUGGAUGGAAGAAUGCUGUAUUGGUCAAUGGCAAUCAAUUGAUUGAUUAGCAAAUAUCACUAAUCGCUCAGCUCAACUGAACCGUGUUGUUCUUCUUUAUAAGUAGUGUUGUAUUGCUUUAGAAUUAAAUUGAGUAAUGUGUACUUAAAUGAAAAGACAGUACCUUUAUCAGUUUCUUUAUAAAAUUACAUUAAAUACCAAUGGAGGAGAAAGUGUAAUUACAAUUAUACAUGUAAGAAAAAUAUUCAGAGUCCUUUACAAACACAAAAUACAAGCUAAGAAUUUUUGAAAUAUACGAACUAAAAAUAAUAUUUACAUAUACCCAUACAUGAAAGAAGUAUGUAUAGAGCUUUAAAUAAGCAGUCAGAAAGAAAUCUUGAAAGCAAAGGGUAUAUUUGAAAUAUAUUUGAAGAUUUCAACAAAUGGAGAAAGUAGAGUUUAAUAAUUCACCAAAGAGCAUGAAUGAUCUGUUGUAUUAGCAACUCUCACUGUUUAGUAAUUUAAAGAGGAAUAGGAAAUUAAGUGGAAAACAACUUAAAAUAUUUAAAAGAACUUGUAACAAAGAGAUGUCAAAUGGUAUACAAAAAUAGAUUGUCUAGUGAUUAACAUGUUAAGUUCACAACUAAGGCCAGUCUGUUGUAAGUGUAUUUUUUUCAUGCUAUCUUUUUGCUGUAUUUAAAAAAUAAUUUCUAUUCCUCAAGGUUCACAGUUUCUUGAAGUAGAAGGUCUCCCAGAUGGGAUGAAACGUUAUGAUGUAGAACGAUACUUAGAGCCAGUGACUGCACUAGGGGCCAAGAUAGAGUUUGUUUGUACUAACAGUAGUAAAUCAAAGCCAAUGGGGAAUGACAACAUCACUAAAACUAAAUAUCAAGUGUUAGCAAUAUUUGAAUCUAGCACAGCAGCCCAGACUGCCCUUUUAAAAAUCAAAACAAACAAAUUUCAGCUUCGACAACGUGGGAAGGAAAUCAGUUUCAAGACUUUAAGUUAACCCUGGAAUUAUACCUACACUAUUCCAUACAAACUAUUUUUUUAAGUGAACCAUUUGAUAUCCACUUAUUCAUAGAAUAAGAAAAUUUCUCUCUUCACACAACUUAUUGUCAAUCAGCAACUUUCUUGUCAUCUCGUGCUGAGAUUAGUAAGGAAGUUUUUAGUUCAUUUUUGAUGACUUAUCGUAGAAAGACUUUAAUUUUCCCUUUAUCAAGACAUGUUUCCGAUGAUGUAGUCAUAAUUUUUUUUUGCAACCUUGUGGCCUUGCUGGUAAACUUCUGACAUCCUGCCUUGUUGCAAGAGUUUAGUUUCUGUGAUUAUAAAUCCUGUGUUAGUCUUGUUCAUAAACAGUAUUGUUGUUCUACAAUAGUGUUUAAUUGAUUUGGUAAGGGAUACAGUAUGGAAGCUGGUCUGUUGGGUGAUAUACUGUAGUGAAGUUUUCGUUUGUUUCUUUUUUUUUUCACUGUUUUUGAUAAGAAUCAGUGAUGUUAGAAAAAAUAAAUUGAAAUGUUAAAUUAUGUGACUUUCUUGUCUUAGAAUGAAGUCAGUGUUAUAUAAUAUGCAAAAUCAAUUUCAGUAGUAGCAUCUCUUAAUGAUUCAUUGCUAGUACUACCUAAUCUACCAAACCCAACCAAAAAUUAAAUUUAUACAAAAUACACAUAAUUACCAAAUCUGAAAGUUUCCAUAAGAAAGACUGAAUAUUUAGCAGCAAUAAACUGAAAAUAAGUUUUAUUUUUGAGGAACUUUAACUGAUGCAGUCAGUAAAGGAAGCAUGUAUUACACUACUAACUAGUCUUGUGUAACUUGUGUGGCUCAGUGAGGUUUCCUGGCUUUGUUAAAUACUUGUUAGUCCAACACACAUAAGCAAAGAAAAGAUGUUCAAAUCUUUUGGGUAUACAGUGAUUACAUUACAUUGUUUACAAAUAAUCAUUAAUGAAUAUUAGAGAAUUGAUAUUUUAUUGGGCAUUCUGGAAACACAUUAUUGUUUAAAAGAAUGAUAUAGAUGAUAAUAUUUUGUAUAUUAAAAUUGAUAGUGAUACAGACAGCUCUUGUUUUAUUCCUCUUCUGGGGAAGACAUUAACGAAAAAACUUAUAAGUUAUUUUCAAUUAGUGAUCACGUCUUGGGGUUAAAUAUGUUUGAAAAAAUUUACAAGAUGUUGCAUACAUUAAUUGCUAACACAAACUAUUUCUAUUUGUGGUGCUCCCUGGUAGCAGUGUAAGAAGCAUUAUAGAUGUAUUUGGUACAUUAAUUUAAAUGUCAGCUUGUAUGAAGUUUUAAAAAAAAACAAAAUGAAACAUUAAAAUAUAUGUACAAGUUUUAAACUCAUUGAUACUUGUUUUCCAUAUCAGUGAAUAAUCUCCACACUUAUUCACAUACUUAUGAUGCAUUUCAAUAAACUAGUAGUUAGUUAAAAUGGUAGGUGAAUUAGAAAUAAAUUUUGUUUUUCACAUCAUUUGGUGAUAAAAUAUAGAAACUAAUGACAUGUGAAAAGCUGCCUUUAUUAAAUCUAUCUUUAUAGAAAGUUUUAUAAUGUUCUGAUGAAUCAGUCACACUAUAUUUAAAUUUAGAAAUAUUCUAAUGUCCCCUCGAAGCAAGUUAACAAAUUUUCCUAUCAACAAGUAGAAUAACUCGCAAGUUCUGAUAUACUUGUAUGAAAAACCAAUUAAGGAAUGCCUUCUGUUACUUGAUUUUAUAUAAAAGGUAUUAGUUAUUUGGUAAUUCCUAUUGUUCUGCCAUUUAUAUACCAUUCAACUAAAAUGAAUGGUGAAAAUUCAAAUUUUUUCAGGCAUCUACAAUUUCCAAUGUAAUUUAAAUAAUAUUAUCAAAAUACAUACUUUGCUAGAACUUUGUAAAUAGUAUCUUCAAGAGGAUUUAAGCUAUGAGAGUCUGUAAACCAGUGAUUUAAAAGAAGUAAAUGAAGAAUAAUAAUAACCUUCAAAAUCACCUAAUAAAUUUUAUAUUUUGUAGCCUCUUUAUCAUCUUUGACUUAGCUUUCAAGUGCCCAUUUUAACACCAUGAAAUGUGGUUGUACAGAUUUACCAGGAAGCAAAAUCAGAGAACUGUAAAUUAACUAUUUAACCUCUAGGUUGUCAAUUGCUAUUGCAAUGACAAAUGUAAACUUUCCUGUAUACUAGAUAUCCAUUAAAUCUCUUUAUACUUACUGGUGGGUAUGGUUAUACUACAGGUCCUAAAUAUACAUCGAGGUGGAAACAUAUCAUCCAACAGAAGUGUAAGCUCCACUGAUAACCCUCAAAGUUUGAUUGAGAAAGGAAGUAAGUCACAGGUUCUUGAAGUGGAAGGC